Corvus hawaiiensis (hawaiian crow) is the source of this 1631-nucleotide long non-coding RNA. RefSeq lists it as uncharacterized. The record is from RefSeq and is a predicted model, not a curated record. The transcript has 2 exons. NCBI's taxonomy places the organism in Eukaryota, Metazoa, Chordata, Aves, Passeriformes, Corvidae.
GGAUCGCCCUCCUUGCUUCCAGCCUCCGCGGCGCAUCCCGUACGAGGAGGCUGUUGUGCAGGAAUUCAGGCCGGCUCAAGUGGGAGAGUCUUUCAGGCCCGCUGAGUUUCAGGUUUCGGUGGUGCUGUGCCCGCGGUGGGGUUGGAGUCUCGGAGUUACUCGUGUUUGUGAGUCCUCACAAGCUCUCCCUGGUGAAGACAUGAGAUGAUGCUCUUCUUCCCCGCUGAGUGUUUGGAGCUGCCUGCCCAGAAGCCCUUAGGGAGAUUUCAUGAGGGAACAGACAAGUUUCUUGCUCGUUUCUGCUGAGAGCUCCUUGUGACCAUGGUUGUGUCUCUGAUGCUUCUGGGGCGCAUGUGUUGGCUUGUCAAGUUUGGGAGAAGAUUCUUAUCCCACCCUGAGCGUUCCCUAGGUGAGAAGGCAGAACCCCUCUCAUCGCUGUCCCUCAGCCUAAGCAAUCCUGCACCCUCCUCUCCAUGUCCUGGUUUGCCUCCAAAUCACCCCAAAAUGUGAUUGUGUAUCAUCAGGAGGGAAGGAAGAAUCUGUACACGAUGCUCAGCCCUGAUGUUUUAAUGGAAAUACUGCGCUACAGUCAAGUUUACAACAUUGGUAUAGAAAUCACAUGGGUUGUGGGCCGAGGAUCACGUUACAGAAUACAAAAAGCAAGAUCAAAUAAAAAGAAAAUUAAAAAAAGCAAACCUCUGCUAUUGUACAGGCUGGGAGCAGAGCUGGGAUUUCAUAUGGAGCACCAGAGGCAGAGGUCUCCCCACAGUGUGUCCUAGGGACCUGCACCAGCCCCCUUGGCUCAAUGACAUGCAGGCACAGACUCCUGAGGAGGCUCCCAUUCCAGACCUGCCUGCUGUGCAUUGGCUGCCAAUGAGUAGUGGCCCCUCCACUACUGGGUGGCACUUCCACCCUGGCUCCAGGUCUCCCUCCAGCGCUGCGCCCCGGCCUCUCUCCGCGGAAGGGAAGGAGCUGCGAUGCCAGGAGGAGAGAACCUGGAACUAGAUGGUAUUAAAGGUCCCUUCCAACCCAGGCCAUUCUAUGAUUCUAUGAACGAGCUGUCUCAAAAUACAGAAAGCCCCUGGGAGAGGCUGAAGCCGUGGCAAAGCCCUGCUCGUGGCUCUCAUCCAGGGAUGAUGGAAGCCAUUCCAGGUGUGUAGGACUGGCUGCAUGGUUUUUUGCAAGGAAAGUUGCCUCCCUUGAGGAGACACAGUGCAGUGGUGGCUGUCAUGGCUUACAAAGCCUGUGCUGACUUCCUUAUUUUUAAAAUCAGAAUCUUCCCCUGUGUUUUAAAUAUCUGCCAGCAUUAAAUUUCUCUACUUAAAAAAAUAUAUAUCCCAUAUGUGGAUUUCAGGAGUGAAACGCACCAAGAGCCCCCACUCCCUCCUCCUUCCCUUGCGCACACACACACACACACACAUGCAGAGCAGCCCUGUCAACUACUGGUUUGGUAUUGCCCAUGAUGUUUUCUCCAACACAGACAGGGAAAAAUACAUCAGCACAAUCAGCCCCAGCUAAGUUGCUCAGCAACACUUCCCAAAAGCGAAGAUCCUUGGAGCUGGAAGAUAAGGUGGAUAAAAAUUACCCACCAGGAAAAAAAGCCAAAAAUUUAAAAAAAAAAUUAAAUUAUA